AAGCACUUUGAGUGGCACGUCAACUCAUCUUCGGGGUAGAGCACUGUUCGGCUAGGGUCAUCCGACUUACCAACCCGAUGCAAACUACGAAUACCGAAGAAUGUUAUCACGGGAGACACACGGCGGGUGCUACGUCCGUCGUGAAGAGGGAAACAACCCAGACCGCCAGCUAAGGUCCCAAAGUCAUGGUUAAGUGGGAAACGAUGUGGGAAGGCACAGACAGCCAGGAU
Molecule: ribosomal RNA, 230 nt
Filed under: Klebsiella pneumoniae
Lineage: Bacteria; Pseudomonadati; Pseudomonadota; Gammaproteobacteria; Enterobacterales; Enterobacteriaceae
Description: partial 23S ribosomal RNA
Rfam family: Bacterial large subunit ribosomal RNA
Source: RNAcentral